RNAcentral lists this transfer RNA (110 nucleotides) under mine drainage metagenome. RNAcentral's name for it is "tRNA-Thr". It matches the Rfam family "tRNA". Rfam says of the family: Transfer RNA (tRNA) molecules are approximately 80 nucleotides in length. Their secondary structure includes four short double-helical elements and three loops (D, anti-codon, and T loops). Further hydrogen bonds mediate the characteristic L-shaped molecular structure. tRNAs have two regions of fundamental functional importance: the anti-codon, which is responsible for specific mRNA codon recognition, and the 3' end, to which the tRNAs corresponding amino acid is attached (by aminoacyl-tRNA synthetases). tRNAs cope with the degeneracy of the genetic code in two manners: having more than one tRNA (with a specific anti-codon) for a particular amino acid; and 'wobble' base-pairing, i.e. permitting non-standard base-pairing at the 3rd anti-codon position. The record is from RNAcentral.
GCCCUGGUAGCUCAGUGGCAGAGCGCCUGUCUUGUAAGUAAACUUCUUUAAAGAAGUUUAAUCAAGAACAAGAAAACAGGAGGUCGAGGGUUCAACUCCCUCUCAGGGCU